Molecule: ribosomal RNA, 635 nt
Filed under: Platyphanes sp. COL648
Lineage: Eukaryota; Metazoa; Arthropoda; Insecta; Coleoptera; Tenebrionidae
Description: eukaryotic LSU rRNA
Rfam family: Eukaryotic large subunit ribosomal RNA
Source: RNAcentral
GGAGUCUAGCAUGUGCGCGAGUCAUUGGGACAUGACUAAACCUAAAGGCGCAAUGAAAGUGAAGGCCCGCCUCGCGCGGGCCUAGGGAGGAUGGGCGGCCGUAUUCAAGCCGCCCCGCACUCCCGGGGCGUCUCGUUCUCAUUGCGAGAAGAGGCGCACCAAGAGCGUACACGCUGGGACCCGAAAGAUGGUGAACUAUGCCUGGUCAGGACGAAGUCAGGGGAAACCCUGAUGGAGGUCCGUAGCGAUUCUGACGUGCAAAUCGAUCGUCGGAACUGGGUAUAGGGGCGAAAGACUAAUCGAACCAUCUAGUAGCUGGUUCCCUCCGAAGUUUCCCUCAGGAUAGCUGGCGCUCGUUGCGUACGAGUUUCAUCCGGUAAAGCGAAUGAUUAGAGGCAUUGGGGUCGAAACGGCCUCAACCUAUUCUCAAACUUUAAAUGGGUGAGAUCUCCGGCUUGCUCGAACUCUUGAAGCCGCGAGACUCGAAUCAGAGUGCCAAGUGGGCCAUUUUUGGUAAGCAGAACUGGCGCUGUGGGAUGAACCAAACGCCGAGUUAAAGCGCCUAAAUCGACGCUUAUGGGAUACCAUGAAAGGCGUUGGUAACUUAAGACAUCAGGACGGUGGCCAUGGAAGUC